Molecule: long non-coding RNA, 667 nt
Organism: Chlorocebus sabaeus (green monkey)
Lineage: Eukaryota; Metazoa; Chordata; Mammalia; Primates; Cercopithecidae
Source: RefSeq, a predicted model, not a curated record
CCGGCGUGGAGCGCACUUUCAGCAGUCUGAUUGCCGAGGGUGAGCUCGCUGGCAGAGGAACUUGGGCCUUCCAACUCUUUGGUUUGUUGCGUUGGGGUCGCAGUCGACUUUAAUGGGAACCAAGCAAGGCACCCAGUGGCCUCUGCCAUCAGGUGCGUGGCAGUUAUCACAUGACAAUUGUCAGAACUCGCGAGGCGCGCCGAUUCAGCGAGUGCCAGUGUGGCUGGCUGUGAAGCGAACUUUAGGUUCGAGUUUCUGGUUCAGCUUGCAGCCUUUCUUGGAGUUGGAACCUCCUCCUGGUCCUUGAAGAAGAACUCAGGGGAGAGCAUGAACACAUGCAUACUACAAACUAUGCAGUUGGGUUUGCCAUAUUUGGGGAAAUGGCAGGGGUCAGCACAUCCGGAGUAUAAUGGAUGAGCCUUGCCCUGGGAAAACCACCUUUGUGAUUGUGAUAGCUCCCCUGCCAGAUUCUUAUUUAAAGUUCAACUGAACAUCAGCAAGUUGAUUAAAAGGUAAGAAACUGACCACUGGCUUUUAUGGUGGAGAAAACGCCAUUUCAAAUAAAAAUAAUAAUACAACUUGGGUUACCAUGAUAUUGUAGUUAAGAAAACUUAUAGUCAUAUUAUAUAAAAGCUCCAGUAUAAGAGGAAGAGUUAUCAGAAUUUUA